Molecule: ribosomal RNA, 468 nt
Filed under: uncultured bacterium
Lineage: Bacteria
Description: partial 16S ribosomal RNA
Rfam family: Bacterial small subunit ribosomal RNA
Source: RNAcentral
GACGAACGCUGGCGGCGUGCUUAACACAUGCAAGUCGAACGGAAAGGCCCUGCUUUUGUGGGGUGCUCGAGUGGCGAACGGGUGAGUAACAAGUGAGUAACCUGCCCUUGACUAUGGGAUAACUUCAGGAAACUGGGGCUAAUACCGGAUAGGAGCUCCUGCUGCAAGGCGGGGGUUGGAAAGUUUCGGCGGUUGGGGAUGGACUCGCGGCGUAUCAGCUUGGUGGUGGGGUAGUGGCUUACCAAGGCUUUGACGGGUAGCCGGCCUGAGAGGGUGACCGGCCACAUUAGGACGGAGAUACGGCCCAGACUCCUACGGGAGGCAGCAGUGGGGAAGAUUGCACAAUGGGCGGAAGCCUGAUGCAGCAACGCCGCGUGCGGGAUAACGGCCUGCGGGUUGUAAACCGCUUUCGCCUGUGACGAAGCGUGAGUGACGGUAAUGGGUAAAGAAGCACCGGCUAACUACGUG